ACCCACCUACGGGGCGCAGCAGUGGGGGAUAUUGCACAAUGGGGGGAACCCUGAUGCAGCGACGCCGCGUGGGUGAAGAAGCGCCUCGGCGCGUAAAGCCCUGUCAGCAGGGAAGAAAAUGACGGUACCUGAAGAAGAAGCCCCGGCUAACUACGUGCCAGCAGCCGCGGUAAUACGUAGGGGGCAAGCGUUAUCCGGAUUUACUGGGUGUAAAGGGGGCGCAGACGGCGAUGCAAGCCAGGAGUGGAAGCCCGGGGCCCAACCCCGGGACUGCUCUUGGGACUGCGUGGCUGGGGGGCA
Molecule: ribosomal RNA, 300 nt
Filed under: uncultured bacterium
Lineage: Bacteria
Description: partial 16S ribosomal RNA
Rfam family: Bacterial small subunit ribosomal RNA
Source: RNAcentral